Molecule: ribosomal RNA, 253 nt
Filed under: uncultured bacterium
Lineage: Bacteria
Description: partial 16S ribosomal RNA
Rfam family: Bacterial small subunit ribosomal RNA
Source: RNAcentral
UACGUAGGGUGCGAGCGUUGUCCGGAAUUAUUGGGCGUAAAGAGCUUGUAGGCGGUCUGUCGCGUCUGCCGUGAAAAUCCGGGGCUCAACCCCGGACUUGCGGUGGGUACGGGCAGACUAGAGUGUGGUAGGGGAGACUGGAAUUCCUGGUGUAGCGGUGAAAUGCGCAGAUAUCAGGAGGAACACCGAUGGCGAAGGCAGGUCUCUGGGCCACUACUGACGCUGAGAAGCGAAAGCGUGGGGAGCGAACAGG